Molecule: transfer RNA, 72 nt
Filed under: Bos taurus (domestic cattle)
Lineage: Eukaryota; Metazoa; Chordata; Mammalia; Artiodactyla; Bovidae
Also listed under: 4 other names
Rfam family: tRNA
About the family: Transfer RNA (tRNA) molecules are approximately 80 nucleotides in length. Their secondary structure includes four short double-helical elements and three loops (D, anti-codon, and T loops).
Source: Rfam by way of RNAcentral
UCCCUGGUGGCUCAGAGGGUAAAGCAUCUGCCUGCAAUGCAGGAAACCCAGGUUCGAUUCCUGGGUUGGGAA